GAAAUGCGAUAAGUAAUGUGAAUUGCAGAAUUCAGUGAAUCAUCGAAUCUUUGAACGCACAUUGCGCUCGCCAGUAUUCUGGCGAGCAUGCCUGUUCGAGCGUCAUUUCAACCAUCAAGCUCUGCUUGCGUUGGGGAUCCGCGGCUGCCCGCGGUCCCUCAAAAACAGUGGCGGGCUCGCUAGUCACACCGAGCGUAGUAACUCUACAUCGCUAUGGUCGUGCGGCGGGCUCUUGCCGUAAAACCCCCAAUUUCUAAGGUUGACCUCGGAUCAGGUAGGAAUACCCGCUGAACUUAAGC
This 299-nucleotide unclassified non-coding RNA is filed under the name plant metagenome. Its description in RNAcentral is "partial contains 5.8S ribosomal RNA, internal transcribed spacer 2, and large subunit ribosomal RNA". The stretch from base 1 to 105 matches the Rfam family "5.8S ribosomal RNA", at positions 50 to 154 of the family's 154-position model. The record is from RNAcentral.